UUGGCCUCGGAUAAGGGUAUCAA
Molecule: ribosomal RNA, 23 nt
Filed under: Nemania aenea
Lineage: Eukaryota; Fungi; Ascomycota; Sordariomycetes; Xylariales; Xylariaceae
Description: partial 28S ribosomal RNA
Source: RNAcentral